CCUAGUUAAUGCUGCUAGUAGUCAUAUGCUUGUCUCAAAGAUUAAGCCAUGCAUGUGUAAGUAUAAACUAAUUCAGACUGUGAAAUUGCAAUUGGCUCAUUAAAUUAGCUAUAGUUUGGUUGAUGGUAUCUACUUUUCAGAUAGUAAUUCUAAAGCUAAUAUGUGUAAUAAACCUUGACUUCUAGAAGGGAUGCAUUUAUUAGAUAAAAGGUUGAUAAAGGCUUUGCCUGUUGCUUUAAUGAUUCAUGAUAGCUCGAAAUAUCUCACGACCUUUGUGCCAACAACGCAUCAUUCAAAAUUUUGCCCUAUCAACUUUCGAUGGUAGGAUUGUAGCCUACUAUGAUGGUGAUAGGUGACGGAGAAUUAAGGUUGGAUUCCAGAGAUAGAGCUCGAAAAAUGGCUACCACAUCCAAUGAAGGUAGCAGGUACGUAAAUUACCUAAUCCUAACACAAAAAGGUAGUGACAAUAAAUAAAAUAUACUAAGCUUUAUGAGUUUGGUAAUUAGAAUGAGUACAAUCUAAAUCUCUUAUCGAGGAUCCAUUGAAGGGCAAGUUUAGUGCUAGUAGCCACACUAAUUCCAACUCUAAUAGUGUAUAUUUAAUUAUUGUAGUUAAAAAGCUCGUAGUUGGAACUAGGGUUAGGUUAUCCAGUCUGCCUCACGAUGAGCACUGAUCUACUUGAUCCUACUCUAGUGAUGCACUCCUAGCCAUAAUUGGCUAGGUCAUUCCUUUGGCACGUUACUUUGAAGAAAUUAGAUUGCUCAAAGUAGGCUUGCGCUUGUAUACAUUAGCAUGGGAUAACAUCAUAGGAUUUUAGUCCUAUUGUGUUGGCCUUUGGAAUUAAAGUAAUGAUUAAUAGGGAUAGUCGGGGGCAUUCAUAUUUCAUAGUCAGAGGUGAAAUUCUUGGAUUUAUAAAAAAUGAACAACUACGAAAACAUUUGCUAAGGAUGUUUUCAUUAAUCAAGAAUGAAAGUUGGGAGCUUAAAAAUGAUUAGAUACCAUCCUAGUCUUAACCAUAAGCAAUGUUGACUAGGGAUCAGUGGAUGUUACUUUUAAGACUCUACUGGCACAUUAUGAGAAAUCAAAGUCUUUAGGUUUCAAAGGGAGUAUGGUCACUAGGCUAAAACUUAAAGGAAUUGAUUAAAAGGCACCACCAGGAGUGGAGUCUGUAGCUUAAUCUAACUCAACAGGGGAAAACUUACCAAGUUCAUACAUAGUAAGGAUUGACAGACUGAUAGCUCUUUCUUGAUUCUAUGGAUGGUGUUUUAUGGCUAUUCUUAGUUGGUGGAGCGAUUUGUCUAGUUAAUUAUGUUAACGAACAAGACCUUAACCUGCUAACUAGCUACAUGGAGGUGAUCUUUUAUGGCUAGCUUCUUAGAGGGACUAUGACCGUUUAGGCCAACGAAGUUUACGACAAUAAUUGGUCUAUGAUGCCUUAAGAUGUUCUAGGUCGUAUGCACUCUACAGUGAUGUAUUCAACGAUUCUAUAGCUUUAGCUAAUAAUCCUAGGUAAUCUUUGAAAUGUCAUUAUGAGACGGAUAGACCAUUGCAAUUGUUGGUCUUCAAUGAGAAAUUCCUAGUAAGCACGAGUCAUCAGCUUGCAUUGACUAUGUCCCUACCCUUUUUACACACCAUCCAUCACUCAUAUCGAUUGAAUAGUUCGGUGAAGUGUUCAGAUCAAGGUGACAUGGAUGGUUCACUGCUUGUGACAUCGUGAAAAGCCCAUUGAACAUUAUCAUUUAGAGGAAAGAAAAGUCGCAACAAGGUUUUCGUAAGUGAAUCUAUGAAAG
This 1790-nucleotide ribosomal RNA is filed under the name Durio zibethinus. RNAcentral describes it as "SSU rRNA". It matches the Rfam family "Eukaryotic small subunit ribosomal RNA". Lineage: Eukaryota; Viridiplantae; Streptophyta; Magnoliopsida; Malvales; Malvaceae. The record is from RNAcentral.